This 373-nucleotide ribosomal RNA is filed under the name uncultured organism. Its description in RNAcentral is "partial 16S ribosomal RNA". It matches the Rfam family "Bacterial small subunit ribosomal RNA", at positions 526 to 896 of the family's 1533-position model. The record is from RNAcentral.
GUAGGUGGGCAAGCGUUGUCCGGAAUUAUUGGGCGUAAAGCGCGCGCAGGGCGGUCCUUUAAGUCUGAUGUGAAAGCCCACGGCUCAACCGUGGAGGGUCAUUGGAAACUGGGGGACUUGAGUACAGAAGAGGAAAGCGGAAUUCCAAGUGUAGCGGUGAAAUGCGUAGAGAUUUGGAGGAACACCAGUGGCGAAGGCGGCUUUCUGGUCUGUAACUGACGCUGAGGCGCGAAAGCGUGGGGAGCAAACAGGAUUAGAUACCCUGGUAGUCCACGCCGUAAACGAUGAGUGCUAAGUGUUGGGGGGUUUCCGCCCCUUAGUGCUGCAGCUAACGCAUUAAGCACUCCGCCUGGGGAGUACGGCCGCAAGGCUG